This 624-nucleotide ribosomal RNA is filed under the name uncultured archaeon. RNAcentral describes it as "bacterial SSU rRNA". It matches the Rfam family "Archaeal small subunit ribosomal RNA", at positions 147 to 774 of the family's 1478-position model. The record is from RNAcentral.
UAAUACUCCAUACUUCGUUAUUACUGGAAUGUUUUUCGAACGAAAGAUCCGUCGCUUAGGAUGACGUCUGCGGCCGAUUAGGUAGUUGUUGGGGUAAUUGCCCAACAAGCCUGUAAUCGGUACGGGUUGUGGGAGCAAGAGCCCGGAGAUGGAUUCUGAGACACGAAUCCAGGCCCUACGGGGCGCAGCAGGCGCGAAAACUUUACCAUGCGGGCAACCGUGAUAAGGAAACCCCGAGUGCCAGCACAGGCUGGCUGUCCGCCAGUUUAAACAACUGGCGAAGAAAGGGCCGGGCAAGACCGGUGCCAGCCGCCGCGGUAAUACCGGCGGCUCGAGUGGUGGCCGCUAUUACUGGGCUUAAAGGGUCCGUAGCUUGAUAAUAGGGUCCCUUGAGAAAUCCGCCGGCUUAACUGGCGGGCGUUCAGGGGAAACUUGUUUUCUAGGGACCGGGAGAGGUGAGGGGUACUACCGGGGGUAUGAGUGAAAUCCUGUAAUCCCCCGGGGGACCACCGAUGGCGAAGGCAUCUCACCAGAACGGCUCCGACCGUGAGGGACGAAAGCUGGGGGAGCAAAACGGAUUAAAUACCCGGGUAGUCCCAGCCGUAAACUAUGCACGUUAGGUGU